This 253-nucleotide ribosomal RNA is filed under the name uncultured bacterium. RNAcentral describes it as "partial 16S ribosomal RNA". It matches the Rfam family "Bacterial small subunit ribosomal RNA", at positions 524 to 776 of the family's 1533-position model. The record is from RNAcentral.
UACAGAGGGUGCAAGCGUUGUUCGGAAUUAUUGGGCGUAAAGGGUGCGUAGGCGGUGCGGUAAGUCUUCUGUGAAAUCUCCGGGCUCAACUCGGAGUCUGCAGAGGAAACUGCCGUGCUGGAGUAUGGGAGAGGUGAGUGGAAUUCCCGGUGUAGCGGUGAAAUGCGUAGAUAUCGUAAGGAAGACCAGUGGCGAAGGCGGGUCUCUGGACAGUUCCUGACGCUGAGGCACGAAGGCCAGGGGAGCAAACGGG